RNAcentral lists this long non-coding RNA (402 nucleotides) under Homo sapiens (human). RNAcentral's name for it is "HSALNT0149481". The record is from RNAcentral. Lineage: Eukaryota; Metazoa; Chordata; Mammalia; Primates; Hominidae.
GAGAGGAUUUUUCAUGUUACCAACACAAAGAAAUGAUAAAGGUGAAAUGGCCACCAGACCCAGGCUUUCUGGAAUGCAUUCAUUUUCUGCAGUUGAAAGGGACAAUCCCGGAUCUGAAAGAAAGAGCCACAGUGACUCCAAGAGUGGAGCCAGGGCAUGCUGGACACUGCAUAGCUAUGGCCAAGUGUGUCACCUCUGAGGGAGAUGUGAGAGAAACGCAGAGGGAUCGCUUGUGACUGUGCCUUCUCGAUGUAUGAUGGACUGUUCUGCUCAAAUAAUGUAAUUUUCAACGAGAAUACAUUUUAUUGCAUUAGUAGUGCUUUUAGAAGAGACAUCAAUAUGAUGCCCAGGCUGGUCUUGAACUCCUGGUCUUAAGUGAUGCUCCCUCCUAAGCUUCCCAAA